UACGGAGGGUGCAAGCAUUAAUCGGAAUUAUUGGGCGUAAAGGGCGCGUAGGCGGAAAUAUAAGUCAGAUGUGAAAUCCCGGGGCUCAACCCCGGAACCGCAUUUGAAACUGCAUUUCUAGAGGAUAGGAGGGGAAAAUGGAAUUCCACAAGUAGCGGUAAAAUGCGUAGAUAUGUGGAAGAACACCAGUGGCGAAGGCGAUUUUCUAUCUUAUUCCUGACGCUGAGGCGCGAAAGCAAGGGGAUCAAACAGG
Molecule: ribosomal RNA, 253 nt
Filed under: uncultured bacterium
Lineage: Bacteria
Description: partial 16S ribosomal RNA
Rfam family: Bacterial small subunit ribosomal RNA
Source: RNAcentral